Molecule: transfer RNA, 65 nt
Filed under: Coccinellidae sp. 1 EF-2015
Lineage: Eukaryota; Metazoa; Arthropoda; Insecta; Coleoptera; Coccinellidae
Description: tRNA-Asp
Source: RNAcentral
AAAAAUUUAGUUAAAAUUAUAACGUUAGUUUGUCAAACUAAAAUUAUUUAUUAAAAUAAUUUUUA